UCACUGGACCACGAGAGUCCUGAUUUUGUGCCCUCUUUUUUUUCAUACACUAAACAAAACCAAAACCCCGAUGCAAAGAUCAAAAGGUACCAAAGAAAAAAGAAAUGGAGUGAAAGACUUCUGGUUGCUCCACCAAACCAACCUGCUCCUGCUCCUGGAACUCCAGAGGAAUCACCAGCAUGGAUCACAGUCCUACUGAAGAGGACAUCCCAGUCACGAGGACAGAAUACAAUGACCUGAAC
Cololabis saira (Pacific saury) is the source of this 242-nucleotide long non-coding RNA. RefSeq lists it as uncharacterized. The record is from RefSeq and is a predicted model, not a curated record. NCBI's taxonomy places the organism in Eukaryota, Metazoa, Chordata, Actinopteri, Beloniformes, Belonidae. The transcript is spliced from 3 exons.